Molecule: regulatory RNA element, 147 nt
Rfam family: Ribosomal protein L10 leader
About the family: This family is a putative r-protein leader autoregulatory structure found in B. subtilis and other low-GC Gram-positive bacteria. It is located in the 5' untranslated regions of mRNAs encoding ribosomal proteins L10 and L12 (rplJ-rplL). A Rho-independent transcription terminator structure that is probably involved in regulation is included at the 3' end.
Source: Rfam
AAAUAAUAAACAUUUGUACUGUAGACAGCAGGUGCUUACGGGCUUAAUUUCCUGCCGAGGUUAGAGAAUAGAUUUAGCUGAACCGUUUCAGCUGAUGUAUGCUGCCUCCAUGUCUGAAAAUCGAUAUGGAGGCUUUUGCUUUCCUGG